UUAUUAAGGGCUUAUGUGGGAUUGCUUGGCAUUUAAGAUCGAUGAAGGGCGUGGAAACUGACGAUAUGCUUUGGGGAGUUAGAAUCAAAUUUUGAUCCAAAGAUUCCCGAAUGAGGCAACUUGUUUAGUAUUAAAAUAUUAAUGUAUAGAUAUUAUUUUACAGAUAACUCAGUGAACUGAAACAUCUUAGUAACUGAAGGAAAAGAAAGCAAAUGCGAUUUCCUUAUUAGUGGCGAACUAAUUGGAAUUAGUCUAAACCUUAUUAUAGGUGUUGUUGGGAUAUUUUUUGAUUUAAUUUAUUUUUAAAUAAAGAAUUUGUUAGUUACAAAACCAUAGAAGGUUAUUAGUCUUGUAUUUAUUUAAAUAUUUAAAUAGUUAUUUUCCCGAGUAGUAUAGAACACGUGUAAUUCUGUAUGAAUCUGCGAGGACCAUUUCGUAAGACUAAAUAUUUUAAAUGACCGAUAGUGAAUUAGUACCGUGAGGGAAAGCUGAAAAGAACACUGAGAAGUGAGUGAAAUAGAAUAUGAAAACAUAAGCUUACAAACAGUAGGAGGUUUUAAUAAAAAUUCUGACUAUGUGCCUGUUGAAGAAUGAGCCGGCGACUUAUAAGUAGUGGCAAGGUUAAGGAAUUUUAUUCUGAAGCCUUAGAGAAAUCGAGUUUUAAUAAAGCUUUUAUAAUUUUGUUAUUUUAAUUUAUUUAAUUAUAAUGUCAUUUUUUAUAGACCCGAACCCAGGUGAUCUAAUCAUUGUCAGGUUGAAAUUUCUUUAAAAGGUAAUGGAGGACCGAACUCACCAAUGUUGAAAAAUUGGGAGAUGAACAAUGAUUAGUGAAGAAAUUUCAAUCGAACUUGGAGAUAGCUGGAUCUCUCCGAAAUGCGUUGAGGCGCAGCAUUUAAUUAUGUUUAAUAUAGGGGUAAAGCACUGUUUCUAUGAAGGUUAUGAAAAUAAUACUAAGUGGUGGCAAACUUUGAAUACUAUAUUUUAUUACAAUUAAUUAGUGAGACAGUGGGGGAUAAGCUUCAUUGUCGAGAGGGAAAUAGCCCAGAUCACUAUUUAAGGCCCUUAAAUAAUUACUAAGUGAUAAAGGAUGUGAAUUUAUUUAGACAACUAGGAGGUUGGCUUAGAAGCAGCAAUUCCUUUAAAAAGUGCGUAAUAGCUUACUAGUUAAAUGAAUUUGCGCCAAAAAUGAAUGGGACUAAGUAAUUUGCCGAAAAUGUGGGAAUUAUAAUCGGUAGGAGAGCGUUCUAUUUUGAAUGGAAGUAAUAACGUAAGUAAUUAUAGAUUAAAUAGAAGUGAGAAUGUCGGUUUGAGUAACGAAAACAUUGGUGAAAAUCUAAUGCUCCGAAAAUCUAAGGGUUCCUUAGCUAGGUUCGUCCUCUGAGGGUUAAUCAGGUCCUAAAAUGAAGUCUAAAGAUGUAAUUUGAUGGUAAACAGGUUAAUAUUCCUGUAUCAAUUUUAAUAAUAUAAAAAAAAGUUACGAAAAAGGCUAAGUCAUCCAUAAUUUGGUUUAGUAAUGUAAAAAUUUUGAUAAAUUAAUUUAAUUAUGUUUUAUUAGUAUUGAAAAUAUGAGUUUGGCGAAGUAUAUACUAUAAUGAAAUUUUUAUUUUUAUAAAUUUGUAAUUUUUGAUUUGAAGUAUUAUGAAUAUUAAUAAAUUAUUUUGUGAUUUAUUUUUGUUUUUGCAUUAUUUUUUAUGGUUCAACUGUCUGAGAUGUUGAAAAAUAUUAUAAAAAAUAUUUGAGUUUAGGUUGGAGUACGAUUAGUAUUAUGAUAUUAAAAGUGAUGUAUGUCAUGUUUCCGAGAAAAGCUUUUGUUUUUAAAAUUUUAAAUUGCCUGUACCAUAAACUGACACAAGUGGAUUGGUUGAGUAUACUAAGGAGCUCGGGAUAAUUCUUUCUAAGGAACUCGGCAAAAUAACUUUGUAACUUAGGGAUAAAAAGUACCUUUAAAAGAGGUCUCAGAAAAAAGGUCCAAGCGACUGCUUAACAAAAGCACAAGUCUCCGCGAAGUUGAAAUACGAUGUAUGGGGGCUGAGGCCUGCUCAGUGCAGGAAGGUUAAAGAAAUUGGUUAGCGUUAGCAAAGCUAGUAACUGAAGCCCCUGUGAACAGCGGCAAUAACUAUAAUUGUCCUAAGGUAGCGAAAUUCCUUGUCGGGUAAGUUCCGACCCGCACGAAAGGUUUAACGAUUUGGACGCUGUCUCAGAAAGAAACUCGGUGAAAUAGAAUUGACUGUGAAGAUGCGGUCUACUUGCACUUGGACAGAAAGACCCUAUGAAGCUUUACUGUAACUUGAUAUUGAUUUUGAGUUUUACUUGCGCAGAAUAAGUGGGAGGCUAUGAUAUUAUUUUUAGGGAUAAUUUGAGCUGUAAUAUGAGAUACCACUCUAGAUGGACUAAAAAUCUAAUAUUUAAUCUUAUUUUGAAUUAAGUUGAUAGACAAUUUCAAGUGGACAGUUUUACUGGGGCGGUAGCCUCCUAAAAGGUAACGGAGGCGUACAAAGGUUUUUUCAAUUUAUAUGGUAAUUAAAUAUAGAGCGUAAAGGUAUAAAAAAGCUUGACUGUAAGACAUAUAAGUCGAACAGGGAUUAAAGUCGGUCUUAAUGAUCCGGCGAUACUGGAUGGAAAGGUCGUCGCAAACAGAUAAAAGUUACUCUAGGGAUAACAGGCUGAUCUCCCCCAAGAGUUCAUAUCGACGGGGAGGUUUGGCACCUCGAUGUCGGCUCAUCGCAACCUGGAGCGGUAGUUUGUUUCAAGGGUUGGGCUGUUCGCCCAUUAAAGCGGUACGUGAGCUGGGUUCAGAACGUCGAGAGACAGUUCGGUCCAUAUCCGGUGUGAGCGUUAGAGUAUUGAAAGGAUUUUUUCUUAGUACGAGAGGACCAGAAAAAACAUACCUAUGGUAUACCAGUUUUUGUACCAGCAGAAUAUGCUGGGUAGCUACGUAUGGAGUGGAUAACUGCUGAAAGCAUAUAAGUAGGAAGCCUACCUUAAGAUAAGUACUCUUUAAUAGAUUAUGGUAAAAUUAACCGUUAGAUAGGUAUUAGGUAUAAAAAUAGUGAUAUUUAGCUGAGAUAUACUAAUAAAUCGAAAA
Molecule: ribosomal RNA, 3085 nt
Filed under: Euglena longa
Lineage: Eukaryota; Euglenozoa; Euglenophyceae; Euglenales; Euglenaceae
Description: bacterial LSU rRNA
Rfam family: Bacterial large subunit ribosomal RNA
Source: RNAcentral